ACCGACGGGAGCUUGCUCCCUUAGGUCAGCGGCGGACGGGUGAGUAACACGUGGGUAACCUGCCUGUAAGACUGGGAUAACUCCGGGAAACCGGGGCUAAUACCGGAUGCUUGAUUGAACCGCAUGGUUCCAAUCAUAAAAGGUGGCUUUCAGCUACCACUUACUGAUGGACCCGCGGCGCAUUAGCUAGUUGGUGAGGUAACGGCUCACCAAGGCGACGAUGCGUAGCCGACCUGAGAGGGUGAUCGGCCACACUGGGACUGAGACACGGCCCAGACUCCUACGGGAGGCAGCAGUAGGGAAUCUUCCGCAAUGGACGAAAGUCUGACGGAGCAACGCCGCGUGAGUGAUGAAGGUUUUCGGAUCGUAAAACUCUGUUGUUAGGGAAGAACAAGUACCGUUCGAAUAGGGCGGCACCUUGACGGUACCUAACCAGAAAGCCACGGCUAACUACGUGCCAGCAGCCGCGGUAAUACGUAGGUGGCAAGCGUUGUCCGGAAUUAUUGGGCGUAAAGCGCGCGCAGGCGGUUUCUUAAGUCUGAUGUGAAAGCCCCCGGCUCAACCGGGGAGGGUCAUUGGAAACUGGGGAACUUGAGUGCAGAAGAGGAGAGUGGAAUUCCACGUGUAGCGGUGAAAUGCGUAGAGAUGUGGAGGAACACCAGUGGCGAAGGCGACUCUCUGGUCUGUAACUGACGCUGAGGCGC
Molecule: ribosomal RNA, 704 nt
Filed under: uncultured Bacilli bacterium
Lineage: Bacteria; Bacillati; Bacillota; Bacilli
Description: bacterial SSU rRNA
Rfam family: Bacterial small subunit ribosomal RNA
Source: RNAcentral